Amphiprion ocellaris (clown anemonefish) is the source of this 631-nucleotide long non-coding RNA. Lineage: Eukaryota; Metazoa; Chordata; Actinopteri; Pomacentridae. The record is from Ensembl.
UGGAGAGCUUGAAGGAGGAGAUGCAGGAUUGCCACACCUUGAAGAAGAGAGAGCUGACUAUCUGCCCAGCAUCUCUUAUUCUGCCUGCCCAUUAUGUGGAUGCAACAGGGGAUAGGAAAAGCGUGUCCCCAGCCUGCCAUUACCCGCUUGUGAUUCCUCAUCACCGCCAUCUGCUAUUGUUCAACAGGGUUCGUCUACCACAGGUGAGGAGUGAAUCAUAUUUGCUGGUGUGUGCAGAAGGGGGGGAACUCCAAGCCUGGGAGAGACAUUGUUGUACUGAACUCUCCUGAAUGAACCUGAAGCCUGUUUAUUCCUCGGCCCAGCUCCCGAUCCACUUGCUGCCUGGACACACUCCUCCCUGACUACAUUCAGACAUGCACAUCAUCAAACUGGACUUGUAUUCCACAUCGAAUCCUCUCUGAAUCCAAGGCCAGCCUUGUUUCAAGAACCUCCACAAACCAUGCCCCGGCAUCUCCCACUCACAGACUCCCUAAACAUUGUCCCUCUUCCUACUGCCAGCUAAGUAGAGUUGCUCAUUUCCAAGCUCAUAUCCUUGUUAAUGUUAGCGAUAGCGAUUGUGUGUUUUGGGUCUAGCAGUUUCUGUUUCGCCAUGUCUGAGUGUAGAAGUAGC